ACCUGGCUGGCUCAGUAGUAGAGCACGUGACUCUUGAUCUCAGAGUUGUGAGUUUGAGCCCUACGCUGGGUG
RNAcentral lists this transfer RNA (72 nucleotides) under Felis catus (domestic cat). It matches the Rfam family "tRNA". From Rfam's summary of the family: Transfer RNA (tRNA) molecules are approximately 80 nucleotides in length. The record is from Rfam by way of RNAcentral. Lineage: Eukaryota; Metazoa; Chordata; Mammalia; Carnivora; Felidae.